Molecule: long non-coding RNA, 768 nt
Organism: Solanum lycopersicum (tomato)
Lineage: Eukaryota; Viridiplantae; Streptophyta; Magnoliopsida; Solanales; Solanaceae
Source: RefSeq, a predicted model, not a curated record
AAUGGAGAAAUUGAAGAUGAUGUUAGUGAUUGGUUUGGUUACCUGGCGGGGGACUGUGAGUUUGUGGUGGCGAAGGGACGGCGAACGGCCGUGAGACGGCAGUUUCAGGUGAAUUACGGACAUUUCCCGGUGAUUAAUUUAGACCCGCAAUCUACUUGAUAUAACUACGUGCAGACAUGCCAAGGACUUGGGCAUUGGUCUUGGCAUGGAUGAUGGCAAAACAGUACAACACAAGUUCAAGGUGCUUGGGUGUUGGCAAGGCAGCUUGAACGUGCAUGGAUUACGUGCGGGCUAAAGGCGUUGGCAAGACAGCAUGUUGACUUGAUGAAGCAAGGCUGUGAAGACUUGGCAAGGUCAAAGACAAAGGCAGUUCACCCGAAAUUGCCGAAAUAAAACUAAGUGUGGAAGACAGCUAAAAUAUUCUAAGUGUUGGAAGCUGGCAGGAUUAUUCUAAGUGUUGGAAUGAAGCCUGAAAUAUUCUAAGUGUUAGAAUAUUAGUAUUUCGUGUAGAUAAGAAUGUAAUUUGAAUUAGAUUCUAUCUGUUGGAAAUAUAGCUGUUGGAAAGUUAGUUUUGAACUCUGGGCUGACAUGUGUCGGACAGGUGUCAUGUGUAACCGCCGCAUGUAACUGCCAUUGUGCAGAAUUUUGAUUUAAGGUGGAAAUUCGUCUAAGGCAGGGGACAGAGAGUUUUCUAGCCUUAGACUGAUUUGUGAAGCCUUCCUUUGUAUUAAUUAUCGAUUAAUAAAGGUUGGGACUUGUUCCUGUAAA